GUCGAGCGGAAACGACAUUAUUGAAUCUUCGGAGGAUUUAAUGGGCGUCGAGCGGCGGACGGGUGAGUAAUGCCUAGGAAGUUGCCUUGAUGUGGGGGAUAACCAUUGGAAACGAUGGCUAAUACCGCAUAAUGCCUACGGGCCAAAGAGGGGGACCUUCGGGCCUCUCGCGUCAAGAUAUGCCUAGGUGGGAUUAGCUAGUUGGUGAGGUAAUGGCUCACCAAGGCGACGAUCCCUAGCUGGUCUGAGAGGAUGAUCAGCCACACUGGAACUGAGACACGGUCCAGACUCCUACGGGAGGCAGCAGUGGGGAAUAUUGCACAAUGGGCGAAAGCCUGAUGCAGCCAUGCCGCGUGUAUGAAGAANGCCUUCGGGUUGUAAAGUACUUUCAGUUGUGAGGAAGGGUGUGUAGUUAAUAGCUGCGCAUCUUGACGUUAGCAACAGAAGACACACCGGCUAACUCCGUGCCAGCAGCCGCGGUAAUACGGAGGGUGCGAGCGUUAAUCGGAAUUACUGGGCGUAAAGCGCAUGCAGGUGG
This 538-nucleotide ribosomal RNA is filed under the name uncultured Vibrio sp. RNAcentral describes it as "bacterial SSU rRNA". It matches the Rfam family "Bacterial small subunit ribosomal RNA", at positions 61 to 578 of the family's 1533-position model. The record is from RNAcentral. Lineage: Bacteria; Pseudomonadati; Pseudomonadota; Gammaproteobacteria; Vibrionales; Vibrionaceae.